RNAcentral lists this ribosomal RNA (253 nucleotides) under uncultured bacterium. RNAcentral describes it as "partial 16S ribosomal RNA". It matches the Rfam family "Bacterial small subunit ribosomal RNA", at positions 524 to 776 of the family's 1533-position model. The record is from RNAcentral.
UACGUAGGGGGCAAGCGUUGUCCGGAAUCAUUGGGCGUAAAGCGCGCGUAGGCGGCCCGGUAAGUCCGUUGUGAAAGUCAAAGGCUCAACCUUUGAACGCCGAUGGAUACUGCCGGGCUAGAGUCCGGAAGAGGCGAGUGGAAUUCCUGGUGUAGCGGUGGAAUGCGCAGAUAUCAGGAGGAACACCAACGGCGAAGGCAGCUCGCUGGGACGGUACUGACGCUGAGGCGCGAAAGCGUGGGGAGCAAACAGG